GCCUGGGUGGCUCAGUCGGUUGAGCAUCCGACUUUGGCUCAGGUCAUGAUCUCACAGUCUGUGGGUUUGAGCCCUGCAUCAGGCU
This 85-nucleotide transfer RNA is filed under the name Felis catus (domestic cat). It matches the Rfam family "tRNA". Rfam says of the family: Transfer RNA (tRNA) molecules are approximately 80 nucleotides in length. Their secondary structure includes four short double-helical elements and three loops (D, anti-codon, and T loops). The record is from Rfam by way of RNAcentral. Lineage: Eukaryota; Metazoa; Chordata; Mammalia; Carnivora; Felidae.